This 179-nucleotide ribosomal RNA is filed under the name uncultured bacterium. Its description in RNAcentral is "partial 16S ribosomal RNA". It matches the Rfam family "Bacterial small subunit ribosomal RNA", at positions 1311 to 1500 of the family's 1533-position model. The record is from RNAcentral.
CUCGCCUACAUGAAGUCGGAGUUGCUAGUAAUCGCGGAUCAGAAUGCCGCGGUGAAUGCGUUCCCGGGUCUUGUACACACCGCCCGUCACACCAUGGAAGUUGGGGGCGCCCGAAGUUGGUCGAGGAAUAGAUUACCUAAGGCGAAACCAAUGACUGGGUGAAGUCGUAACAAGGUAUC